Molecule: long non-coding RNA, 407 nt
Filed under: Rattus norvegicus (Norway rat)
Lineage: Eukaryota; Metazoa; Chordata; Mammalia; Rodentia; Muridae
Description: long non-coding RNA NONRATT018454
Source: RNAcentral
CGGCCGCGCGCCGCGGGGGGGAGGAGACGGUCUGGAGUCCCCCGCUGCGCAGGGGAUGGGGAGACGGAGGACUGCAGCGCCCCUUGGGGCUUCUGAUGCGCCCAGGUAAUCUCACCUGGCCGCCAGCCUCCCGCAGGAGGAACAGACACGCUGGUUCCACACCGAGCCUGUUAACAGCUCGACUUCCAAUAUUUGGCAGAGGUGGGAUCGCUGUUCACUAAGGUUUUAUGAGCCAACUUGGUUACUCAAAUGUGAAAAUGCAUUUUUUUUCAAUCCUCUCUUUCCCAUUAUGUGUUCAGCUCUACACCCUGGAUGCUUAUCUUUACUGGUGACUUCUCUGAGACUGCACUCAGUUUUGACCCAUACGAUGUCCUAGCAAGUUUAAAGGAUAGAAGGACUGUGAGGUC